GGUACUAUAGUGUAGUGGUUAUCACUCGGGAUUUUGAUGACGACUGCCCCCACGUGAAUUUCCCGGAACCCAGGUUCGAACCCUGGUAGUACCU
This is a transfer RNA of 94 nucleotides. It matches the Rfam family "tRNA". From Rfam's summary of the family: Transfer RNA (tRNA) molecules are approximately 80 nucleotides in length. Their secondary structure includes four short double-helical elements and three loops (D, anti-codon, and T loops).